UAAAGGGCUAAUAUUAAAUCUUACUUGAUCCAUAUUUAAAAUAUUUUAUAAAAGUUUUAUUCUAGCUUAAAUAAUUUCUUUAAAGAAAUUUUAUAUGUAAAUUUAGUGUGAUAGCUAACGACCUAAAUGGGAGUUAUAUACGCGCAGUAUUUAAUAUUACUUAUUAAGGUAACUUAGAAGUAGUUAUUUUUAUAAUUUCGGUUUAAGUUGUGCCAGCUACCGCGGUUAAACAACGGAUGUGAGGGAUUAAAAUUGGUGAGUAGUUAACAGUUAUUAAAUAAAUAAGGAAAAAAAUAAGUAGGUGAAAUUUUUAUUUUUAAUAAAUUUAGAGAUGUGAAGCUAUAAAGGGUACUAAGAGACUAGGAUUAGAUACCCUACUAUUAUAUAAAUAGCACUAUGUACCAGAGUAAUAAUAGAUAUAUUCUUUAAACUCAAAGAAUUUGGCGGUGUUUUAGUCUAUUCAGAGGAACUUGUCCCGUAAUCGAUAAUCCCCGCUAUAAUUUAUUUAACAUUGUUCGAGCUUGUAUACCGCUGUCAUAAGAGUAUUCUAGUAGGAAGUGCUCUAGAUUCCUAAGUAGGAAAGAUGUCAAGUCAAGGUGCAGCCAAUGGUUAAAGGGAGAUGAGUUACAAUAAUAUUAGUUAAACGGAUAUGUUCUUUAAAAUGCAUUGAAGGUGGAUUUGAAGGUAAUAAAAAUUAGUAAAUUUUUAUGAAAGAGCUCUAAAACAUGCACACAUCGCCCGUCGCUCUCAUUUAUUAAGGUGAGAUAAGUCGUAACAUAGUAGGUGUACCGGAAGGUGUACCUGGUUAGAC
This 811-nucleotide non-coding RNA is filed under the name Deleatidium vernale. Its description in RNAcentral is "12S ribosomal RNA". The stretch from base 405 to 804 matches the Rfam family "Microsporidia small subunit ribosomal RNA", at positions 752 to 1303 of the family's 1311-position model. Lineage: Eukaryota; Metazoa; Arthropoda; Insecta; Ephemeroptera; Leptophlebiidae. The record is from RNAcentral.